Oryza glaberrima (African rice) is the source of this 211-nucleotide non-coding RNA. The record is from Rfam. Lineage: Eukaryota; Viridiplantae; Streptophyta; Magnoliopsida; Poales; Poaceae.
AAUAAGUGUAGUUUUGCACUAUUCAUAUCUAACGUUUGACCGUUCGUCUUAUUAAAAAAAAAUAUGAUUAGUAUUUCUAUUGCUAGUACAGUAGAUGAUAAAACAUGAAUAGUAUUUUAUGUGUGACUAUUUUUUUAAAAAAAUUUCACAAAUAUUUUAAAUAAGACGGAUGGUCAAACAUUGGACAUAGAUAUCCAUAAUUGCAUUUAUU